AGUGAACGCUGGCGGUAGGCCUAACACAUGCAAGUCGAACGGCAGCACAGUAAGAGCUUGCUCUUACGGGUGGCGAGUGGCGGACGGGUGAGGAAUACAUCGGAAUCUACUUUUUCGGGGGGGAUAACGUAGGGAAACUUACGCUAAUACCGCAUACGACCUACGGGUGAAAGAAGGGGAUCUUCGGACCUUGCGCGAUUGAAUGAGCCGAUGUCGGAUUAGCUAGUUGGCGGGGUAAAGGCCCACCAAGGCGACGAUCCGUAGCUGGUCUGAGAGGAUGAUCAGCCACACUGGAACUGAGACACGGUCCAGACUCCUACGGGAGGCAGCAGUGGGGAAUAUUGGACAAUGGGCGCAAGCCUGAUCCAGCCAUACCGCGUGGGUGAAGAAGGCCUUCGGGUUGUAAAGCCCUUUUGUUGGGAAAGAAAAGCAGCAGGUUAAUACCCCGCUGUUCUGACGGUACCCAAAGAAUAAGCACCGGCUAACUUCGUG
RNAcentral lists this ribosomal RNA (492 nucleotides) under uncultured bacterium. RNAcentral describes it as "partial 16S ribosomal RNA". It matches the Rfam family "Bacterial small subunit ribosomal RNA", at positions 29 to 507 of the family's 1533-position model. The record is from RNAcentral.